RNAcentral lists this long non-coding RNA (481 nucleotides) under Homo sapiens (human). Its description in RNAcentral is "long non-coding RNA NONHSAT235243". Lineage: Eukaryota; Metazoa; Chordata; Mammalia; Primates; Hominidae. The record is from RNAcentral.
UCCAGACCGAGAAUGACGCUCCCGGGAUCGGGAUCUUGAUCUAUGCUUCUUGCGACGCUGCCCACACAGCUCCCGCCGCAGCUCUCUGGAAAUGGGCUUCAAAUGCAUGAAGUUGCAGAAGCCGCCUCGUGUGCAUUCUCCCAUCUCAUACUGACGGCAGCAGGCUCCCCUGAAGUCCGUCACAGGUGACAGCUCGGCGUGGAUCGGCUGUCCGUUAAACCAACGGUUGUUCAAGUCAAUCACAGCCUUUUCCGCAUCUUCCUCACGGGGAAGCUUGAAGUACACGUUCCCCACCAGGUGGUCUCCCAGGUUGUCACAGACAUUCAUCUCCUCAACUUCCCCAUACUUCUCCCCCAGUUCUAUAAAAACCUCCUCAAAAAAUUCAUCAGAGUGUUCCUGCACCUCAACAUCGCUCAGGGCACAGCGCAAACCGUCGGCCGACUGGGAAGCGUUUUGAGGGUUACAGUAAAUGUUCAAGAGG